This 352-nucleotide ribosomal RNA is filed under the name uncultured bacterium. RNAcentral's name for it is "bacterial SSU rRNA". It matches the Rfam family "Bacterial small subunit ribosomal RNA", at positions 29 to 408 of the family's 1533-position model. The record is from RNAcentral.
AACGAACGCUGGCGGCAUGCCUAACACAUGCAAGUCGAACGGGACCUUCGGGUCUAGUGGCGCACGGGUGCGUAACGCGUGGGGAUCUGCCCUUAGGUACGGAAUAACUCAGGGAAACUUGAGCUAAUACCGUAUAAUGACUUCGGUCCAAAGACUUAUCGCCUAGGGAUGAACCCGCGUAGGAUUAGCUUGUUGGUGAGGUAAAGGCUCACCAAGGCGACGAUCCUUAGCUGGUCUGAGAGGAUGAUCAGCCACACUGGGACUGAGACACGGCCCAGACUCCUACGGGAGGCAGCAGUGGGGAAUAUUGGACAAUGGGCGAAAGCCUGAUCCAGCAAUGCCGCGUGAGUGA